CCUACGGGGGGCAGCAGUGGGGAAUCUUGCGCAAUGGGCGAAAGCCUGACGCAGCAACGCCGCGUGCGGGAUGACGGCCCUCGGGUUGUAAACCGCUUUCAGUGGGGACGAAAUUGACGGUACCCACAGAAGAAGCCCCGGCCAACUACGUGCCAGCAGCCGCGGUAACACGUAGGGGGCGAGCGUUGUCCGGAUUCAUUGGGCGUAAAGAGCUCGUAGGCGGCUCAGCAAGUCAGGUGUGAAACCUCCGGGCUCAACCCGGAGACGCCACCUGAUACUGCUGUGGCUAGAGUCCAGUAGGGGAGCGUGGAAUUCCCGGUGUAGCGGUGAAAUGCGCAGAUAUCGGGAGGAACACCAGUGGCGAAGGCGGCGCUCUGGGCUGGAACUGACGCUGAGGAGCGAAAGCGUGGGGAGCGAACAGGAUUAGAUACCCUUGUAGU
This 440-nucleotide ribosomal RNA is filed under the name uncultured bacterium. RNAcentral's name for it is "bacterial SSU rRNA". It matches the Rfam family "Bacterial small subunit ribosomal RNA", at positions 338 to 794 of the family's 1533-position model. The record is from RNAcentral.